Molecule: ribosomal RNA, 446 nt
Filed under: uncultured bacterium
Lineage: Bacteria
Description: partial 16S ribosomal RNA
Rfam family: Bacterial small subunit ribosomal RNA
Source: RNAcentral
CCUACGGGUGGCAGCAGUCGAGAAUCAUUCACAAUGGGGGAAACCCUGAUGGUGCGACGCCGCGUGGGGGAAUGAAGGUCUUCGGAUUGUAAACCCCUGUCAUGUGGGAGCAAAUUAAAAAGAUAGUACCACAAGAGGAAGAGACGGCUAACUCUGUGCCAGCAGCCGCGGUAAUACAGAGGUCUCAAGCGUUGUUCGGAAUCACUGGGCGUAAAGCGUGCGUAGGCUGUUUCGUAAGUCGUGUGUGAAAGGCGCGGGCUCAACCCGCGGACGGCCCAUGAUAAUGCGAGACUAGAGUAAGGGAGGGGGAACCGGAAUUCUCGGUGUAGCAGUGAAAUGCGUAGAUAUCGAGAGGAACACUCGUGGCGAAGGCGGGUUCCUGGACAUUAACUGACGCUGAGGCACGAAGGCCAGGGGAGCGAAAGGGAUUAGAUACCCUGGUAGUC